RNAcentral lists this non-coding RNA (32 nucleotides) under Geobacter sulfurreducens KN400. The record is from RNAcentral. Lineage: Bacteria; Pseudomonadati; Thermodesulfobacteriota; Desulfuromonadia; Geobacterales; Geobacteraceae.
GUGUCGGUGGCAGAACCCUUGACGAUGACGUA